UAGGGAAUCUUCGGCAGUGGACGAAAGUCUGACCGAGCAACGCCGCGUGAGUGAAGAAGGUUUUCGGAUCGUAAAACUCUGUUGUUAGAGAAGAACAAGGAUGAGAGUAACUGUUCAUCCCUUGACGGUAUCUAACCAGAAAGCCACGGCUAACUACGUGCCAGCAGCCGCGGUAAUACGUAGGUGGCAAGCGUUGUCCGGAUUUAUUGGGCGUAAAGCGAGCGCAGGCGGUUUCUUAAGUCUGAUGUGAAAGCCCCCGGCUCAACCGGGGAGGGUUAUUGGAAACUGGGAGACUUGAGUGCAAAAGAGGAGAGUGGAAUUCCAUGUGUAGCGGUGAAAUGCGUAGAUAUAUGGAGGAACACCAGUGGCGAAGGCGGCUCUCUGGUCUGUAACUGACGCUGAGGCUCGAAAGCGUGGGGAGCAAACAG
This 428-nucleotide ribosomal RNA is filed under the name uncultured bacterium. Its description in RNAcentral is "bacterial SSU rRNA". It matches the Rfam family "Bacterial small subunit ribosomal RNA", at positions 355 to 775 of the family's 1533-position model. The record is from RNAcentral.